RNAcentral lists this long non-coding RNA (1268 nucleotides) under Heterocephalus glaber (naked mole-rat). RNAcentral describes it as "lncRNA (ENSHGLG00100040464.1)". The record is from RNAcentral. Lineage: Eukaryota; Metazoa; Chordata; Mammalia; Rodentia; Bathyergidae.
GUGAGUUGGGAGUUCAGCCUACCUCUCCUCGGGUUCUCUGUCUCGUGUUCUCUCUCCCCCUCCGGGGACUUCUCAGAAAUCCAAGCGCUUGGUCAGAGAAACCCCCACGGCCUCUGGGCCCAGGACCGUGCCCCUGGGAGACGUCCCAUCGGCCCGCCUCCUCUCGUUCUCUCCCUUUGGGAGACUCACUCGGAGUUUGUCAAAGGAGACAAGGAUGCUUCUCCCCUUUGUCUUUCUCCCCAGGGGCUGCCUCCUCCUCACCCGCUCUAAUCAGGGGGCCCAACAAUCCAAACCCCGCCCCUCAACGCCUCUGGGCUGCCUUCUGGCACAACUCAAACCCCUCGGAUUGUUGGGACCAGACUUUAAGCCAAAAAGACUUGUUUUCUAUUGUAAUCAGGUUUGGCCUCAGUAUAAAUUAGAGAAUGGGUUUCCAGGGCCCAAAAAUGGGACUUUCAAUUUUAACUUACUGUGUGAUUUACACAACUUCUGUCAACGCAAUGGCAAAUGGUCAGAAAUCCCCUACACACAAACCUUUUCUACCUAUGCUCUUAACCCUCCCUCUGUCAAACCUGUUCUCCUUCUCAAGUACUCCUAGCCUCACCUCUCAUACCUCCCCCACUUUAUAACUCUGUUGAUAGGAAAAAGUUUUAAAGCUUAAUAGAUUAGCUAUUGAAGUAGUUGUGGAAGCAAACCAGUUUGGAGACCAGAACAAAAAGGUAACUGGGCUAUGAGGACAGCCAAUAUUUUGGCCCCGGCCCCUCAAGGUCAACAAAGUUCCAGGACAUGAGGGAACCUUCUCUACAGGGUCCUACAUCUUUGGAACGAUUGAGGGCAUUCACCAGCCAGACAGUCAUGGAGUUCACCAUGGCAGGUUACCAGCCAGUACGAUAAAAGGAAGAGGUCCCCGCUUGCCACCGGCCCCAUGAGAUCCAGGUCUAGCCCCGAUCUUCGCCCCUGGUCAGCAGGAAGCAGCUCCAGAAGAAGAGACCUUCGCCCAACUAUCAUACAACAAAAGCCUGGAAUGAUAGGUCUCCCACCACCUCAGCAGCUGUUAUGUAUCGCAGCUGCCCUCUUCCUAUGGUGCCUUGCCCCCUCCCCUGUGUGACAUCACGCCAAGAUGGCUGCUCCCACCAAAGAACAAACCCUUCUUCCCAGCAUGCCCCUGUUCCCGCCUAGAAAGUAACCUAAUACUCGCUCACCUCCUACCAUCUAGUGACAUCACUGGCUCCUCCAUUCCCUAGUCACUGCCUCACUCAACCCCACCUCAG